RNAcentral lists this non-coding RNA (161 nucleotides) under Tistlia consotensis USBA 355. RNAcentral's name for it is "alpha proteobacterium USBA 355 6S / SsrS RNA". It matches the Rfam family "6S / SsrS RNA". Rfam says of the family: E. coli 6S RNA was the first non coding RNA to be sequenced, but its function was unknown until recently. RNAcentral also lists the same sequence under 1 other name. Lineage: Bacteria; Pseudomonadati; Pseudomonadota; Alphaproteobacteria; Rhodospirillales; Rhodovibrionaceae. The record is from Rfam by way of RNAcentral.
GACGGGCUGCGGGGUGCGUCAGGUCGCGUCGAUCCCUGGGGCCAAUACGAACCUCUAGGGAGCUGUCCCUGCCGGGGCCCUGGUCCCGGCACUACGGCGCCCACCUGUCUCGGACAGGCCACAGAGGAUGAUCAUAGACCAACGGCCUUCGCGGCUCCCCU